Suricata suricatta (meerkat) is the source of this 106-nucleotide small nuclear RNA. The record is from Ensembl. Lineage: Eukaryota; Metazoa; Chordata; Mammalia; Carnivora; Herpestidae.
GUGCACACUUUGGCAGCACAUAUGCUAAAGCUGAAACGAUACAGAAAAGAUUAGCACGGCCCCUGUGCUAGGAAACAGGCAAAUUCAUGAAGCCUUCUGUAUUUUA